This 77-nucleotide transfer RNA is filed under the name Coriobacteriales bacterium. RNAcentral describes it as "tRNA-Pro". It matches the Rfam family "tRNA". From Rfam's summary of the family: Transfer RNA (tRNA) molecules are approximately 80 nucleotides in length. Their secondary structure includes four short double-helical elements and three loops (D, anti-codon, and T loops). Further hydrogen bonds mediate the characteristic L-shaped molecular structure. tRNAs have two regions of fundamental functional importance: the anti-codon, which is responsible for specific mRNA codon recognition, and the 3' end, to which the tRNAs corresponding amino acid is attached (by aminoacyl-tRNA synthetases). tRNAs cope with the degeneracy of the genetic code in two manners: having more than one tRNA (with a specific anti-codon) for a particular amino acid; and 'wobble' base-pairing, i.e. permitting non-standard base-pairing at the 3rd anti-codon position. Lineage: Bacteria; Bacillati; Actinomycetota; Coriobacteriia; Coriobacteriales. The record is from RNAcentral.
CGGGGUGUAGCGCAGCCCGGUAGCGCGCAUGCUUUGGGAGCAUGAUGUCGCUGGUUCGAAUCCAGUCACCCCGACCA